Molecule: long non-coding RNA, 3556 nt
Organism: Cygnus olor (mute swan)
Lineage: Eukaryota; Metazoa; Chordata; Aves; Anseriformes; Anatidae
Exons: 3
Source: RefSeq, a predicted model, not a curated record
CAUAGUUUCCAGUGGUCAGACGGCAAGCCUUAGCAGUGGGAAUUCUUACUUUAUGACAGCAUCAAUCUCCAUGUUACAGUUUUCUUCAGUUGCCAGUUGGACAACAGACCUUUUCAUUAUCUUGUUCUUUAGGGGCAUGCUUAUUUGCACUUUCUGGUUCUGAAUUGGAUCUAGACAUCAGAGUUUCCACUAAGUUUGUGGAAGAGUAGCAUGGCAAAGCUGAGAAAUUUCACUUUUACAACUCAGAGUAGGAAAUUAUAUGAAAGCAUAUAUUAUAUGAUAUAUAAUACGUAUGCGGGCUGCUUAGUUUUGUCUCCGAGAAGUACACUCACAAACCAUAACGGACUGCUCCUAAUUGCAAACAGAAAGUUUUUCUUUACAAAAAAGAUCCAGUAGCUCUAAAACAUAUUUGCAAACCCACAUUGACCCCAGUACCAGCACCAACACAAAACAAUAAUUUGGGGUUAUAAAACACUCCAUUCCCCAAACCCCUUACUCAUAAAGAAAGCACCACCUCACAAUGAGUACACUAUAUUAAAGGAGCUUGUUAAUGAUGUGCAGAUCAUAAUUAAAUAGCAGUGGUUAGUGCUUUACCUUCCCAUGGAGAUAGUUUAUAAGUCAUGGGAGAGCAUUUACAUCUGAUUAGCCUUUCCCUAGUUUGCACGGACUGACUGAAGCAUCUUUACAAUUACAGCUGGGUCCCAGCCCAUAACCACUAGUGUGUGUUUGUGCAGGGUUUGUUUGUGAGAAAUCCCAAUGAAGUCAAUGGAAAGACUCACGUAAACUAUGUGAAUAUCGUCCGCAGGAUUUAAGAUCUUAGCCAUAAGUAAUUAAGUGCUGCAUUUUCUAAAGAUGUAAAAUAAAUUUAAUUUGAUGGAUAUGCCUAUAAUGAUAUUGGUAUAUAGUACAUGAGAAAAAGCUAAAAAAGCUGGUGCUUAAAGCUGAUAUAUGUAUAAGAAUAGUGUAUCAUUCAAAAAUUAUUUUGGAUCAGAAGUUUCAGGUUUUUGUGAAAAAGACAAAUGUGUAUUUCAUUAAGCUCUUGAUGGGACUCAGUAUGUUAAUUUCUUCUCAAGUCCUCAGCUUCCUGACAGCAGCACAGCUAUAACACAUAAAGCAGCAUGCCCCCUUUUCAGACUGCAGUCAGGAUCACUGAGUGAUGGCCCAGAAAGAAAAUCCAGGCAUUUAGGAAGCAUUAAAUUAACCAGGGGGUUGCAAUCUUCCUUCUGAGCCAACUCCACCCCACUGUCGAGCGUAAUGGCACGGGUCGGUCUAACCCUGCAAGUACUGCGUUCAGAAGCAGGACUAGGUGGUCAUUAAGGGUGCCACAGCGACUUUUAUAGGAUUAAGAGCACCACCUAGGCCGGGUUCCCACAUAACUCUCAGCACGCUGCCCCUCGCCCCUUCCCCACAGCAGAGACCGAGCCCUGCUGCACCCCGUCCUGCGAGAAGCCGGAGAGGACACCUGCAAGAUAUCUCCUUAAUAAAUCCUUCCAGGCAAACAAACAAGCAAAACCAGCAAAAGCAAGCACAACAAAGAUGAACCGGGUUCGUCCCUUCCAACAAGAAGCUCUGAAAUCUCUAAGCCCUGCAAAUUCACGUUACAAGAAUGCACGCUGCAUGGGGUGCCAGCCAGGUCAAAGAGGGACGGGUUGUACCUCCCAGUGCUGCUCGGGAGGUGAACAGGCUUUGGAAAUCAGCUGAGCUGAUUUUGGUUGCUAGAGAAAGACACAAAGCAGGAGAGCAAGAGUCAUGAUGAGAAGAUGACAUGAGCAUGCAGAGGCUCAGCUUGGCAGCUUCAGCUCCAAUUUACACAGAAGAAAUCCCGGCACUAGCUAUUUGCAGACGCUGUGCAGCCUGCUGCUCUUGGCAGAUUGAACACGCACAAGGUAUCACAGCUGGAGAAGAUGGGCAGGGGUAUGAAGGCAGUGAGUCAGCAUGCUAAGGCAUCAAUUUGUUUUGUAAGAGAGAGUUUGGAAGACAGGGAGACCUUUGCUGGACAAGCAGCUUGAUGAAUGAGCCUGGCAUGGAGCAUGGCCUCUCUUGGGACUGUGCAGGUCACACCUUCCACCACGUGUGUAGUCAGGCUCACGGCGUACACCAAGGACUUCUUGCAUCUCUCUGUCCAAGCUCCUCAAACAGCUCUUGUGCUUCAUGUCUCUCUGUUUCAAGGGCUGACACUGCAACACCCCACUCCCAGAAUCAGAGACUUUUUGCAACCUUUAUUUUUCCCUCUGCCAUUAGCAAGAAUGUCUCUGUGGUCCCUGCUCCAUAUAAAAAGGCAUUUUAUUCUCUAUAUUUUCAUUUGACUUUAUUGAUCAACUAUUUCAUUUAUUUAAUAAGGUAUCCAAAGUUCUCUGUAUUUCCAUGUUGCAGAUUCUCACUGUCUCUUCACUACUUGUCUUUCCUUGAGCUACUGCCCUCCACUCCCACUGUGUUACUUCUCUUUUUGUGAGAGACAUUGCUCAGUCUGUCAACAUUUGGGAGGAUAGGCAGAGCAAAGCUGGGAGAUAUUACGUUAAAAAACCUGGAAAAAAGCUCCUAUUAAGUUAUGCUUUGAUCUGCAGCAAUUAUUAAGCUGCUUGAAGAUUGCCAACAAGAUAUCAGAGGCUUUCUAUGUCUCCUCUUCCCUUUCCUGGCUUCUCUCAGUAUCUGUUAGGAUAGUUCUCGGUCUGGAAGAAACUCCCAGUGAUGUAGUCUACUUUCUAGUUAUCACAUGCCAUGACAUAAUGUAAAUCAUUCCAGAAAGUAAGUUCCAUCUUAAAAGCAGAUGAAUAGGGAGUUAUUAAAAACAGUAGGGAACUAGUUUUGUGCCGGCUGUUAGAGGACUCUUCCAGACCUUCCUCUUUCUGAUAGUUGGACACUUCCUAUGGAUGUCUAGCCUAAAAGUAUUCAUGACCGUUUAAUACUUAUUUUCCAGUACCAAUGUUGUCUUUUAGCCUGAAUAGCUCCUUUUUCUUCUCCAAGGCUUUCCUAGCUGGCUUAUGUAGUGACAGCAAUCAUUUUCUCUCUCAGCCUUUCUUCUUGUUUCACUAAACAAGCAAGAUUUCACUGUGCAUGUGCUGAGCUGGUUCCUGUGAACGUGUGUGACAGAACUGAACAUGAUACGCCACAUGAGCUCUCACCAGAACAUUUCUAUUUACUGGAAAUACUUUGCCUGAUGUGGUCUAGGAUUUCAUUAUCAUUUUAAUUGGCUGCAUUGCCACUGCUGGCAGAUGGUCAUCCUUGUAUCCUUAAUAUAUGCAGCUGCACCUGUUUUCCGAUGGAUGAAUCCUAGCUAAUAUAUGAUCUUUCAUUUUAUACUAUGGCAUUUCAUCUCUCUAUUAGUUCUUUCUUUCUUAAGAUCAUUCAGUCCUUUCCAAAUGAGAUCCUCCUUUUCCGUUCCAUUUGCAAUGUCUAUUGACUCUCUUAUGUUUUAUUAGAAAACUUCCACUUUUGACUGCCAAUUUCAUGAGUGAAAAAGUUGAAUGUUAACAAAAUUUUUAAACUGAUCUUUUAGAAAUCACUAAUAACUUUUCUUUAUCUUCCCCCUCUGAACACUCCUGCAUCCCAUUUUCAU